CCGGAAGCUAAGAGGUCACACCAGGUGCAGUUAUGGCGGGUAAAUGUUGUAAAAUGGCAGAAAAGCUCGUUAAUGACGGAGCCGCCGCGCAGGUGAGCUCCGUCUCUGCAGCUGAGGAAGAAGACAUUUCACAGUUUCACGUCCGUCACGUGUUAGAAACCUCGUCAACACGUCC
This is a long non-coding RNA of Hippoglossus stenolepis (Pacific halibut), 175 nucleotides long. RefSeq lists it as uncharacterized. The record is from RefSeq and is a predicted model, not a curated record. The transcript is spliced from 3 exons. Lineage: Eukaryota; Metazoa; Chordata; Actinopteri; Pleuronectiformes; Pleuronectidae.